UUGAAGGCUGAAAUUCGCCUUCCAUGAAGCCGGAAUUGCUAGUAAUGGCAGGUCAGCAUACUGCCGUGAAUACGUUCCCGGGCCUUGUACACACCGCCCGUCACACCAUGAGAGUUGGGAAUACCCGAAGCCUGUGAGCUAACUUUUAGAGGCAGCAGUCGAAGGUAGAAUCAAUGAUUGGGGUGAAGUCGUAACAAGGUAAC
RNAcentral lists this ribosomal RNA (203 nucleotides) under uncultured bacterium. RNAcentral's name for it is "partial 16S ribosomal RNA". It matches the Rfam family "Bacterial small subunit ribosomal RNA", at positions 1298 to 1500 of the family's 1533-position model. The record is from RNAcentral.